CAACUGGCUGUGUCCACUCAGCUGUACUUUGUGCACAGAUGCUGUGGCUGCAAAGGAGGAGAUCAGGGAAGAAUUAAAUACUCAAUUAGAACUCUCCACUGCCAAAAAUGGACUAGUAAUACUACCUACCCAUGAAGAUUUUUUCAAAUUUCCUUUGGAGAACUUAACAGCAGAACAAGGCAAUAUCUCAGAAGCCCAUGGUGAAAGGAACUUGGAUAUUCUGGUUGUCUGACAGCAAAAACCAUGGAAGGAAUAUUUUGUACAAAUCUGUUAUUAUCACCUUUGGAUCUCAUGCAAAUAAGCUUCAGACAGCAACAAAACAUAGACAGAUUCAGGAGCAGAACUUGACAAGAAGCUGAGGUCCAGAGCAGUAUCUUUAGAAGAGCAACAUAACAAAUCAGUGAUGACUUAGAUUUUAUACCCCAUAAUUUGAACACUUCCAAAAGUAGAUG
Varanus komodoensis (Komodo dragon) is the source of this 452-nucleotide long non-coding RNA. RefSeq lists it as uncharacterized. The transcript has 3 exons. The record is from RefSeq and is a predicted model, not a curated record. Lineage: Eukaryota; Metazoa; Chordata; Lepidosauria; Squamata; Varanidae.